RNAcentral lists this ribosomal RNA (497 nucleotides) under uncultured bacterium. RNAcentral's name for it is "partial 16S ribosomal RNA". It matches the Rfam family "Bacterial small subunit ribosomal RNA", at positions 28 to 507 of the family's 1533-position model. The record is from RNAcentral.
GAUGAACGCUGGCGGCGUGCCUAAUACAUGCAAGUCGAGCGAACAGACGAGGAGCUUGCUCCUCUGACGUUAGCGGCGGACGGGUGAGUAACACGUGGAUAACCUACCUAUAAGACUGGGAUAACUUCGGGAAACCGGAGCUAAUACCGGAUAAUAUAUUGAACCGCAUGGUUCAAUAGUGAAAGACGGUUUUGCUGUCACUUAUAGAUGGAUCCGCGCCGCAUUAGCUAGUUGGUAAGGUAACGGCUUACCAAGGCAACGAUGCGUAGCCGACCUGAGAGGGUGAUCGGCCACACUGGAAGUGAGACACGGUCCAGACUCCUACGGGAGGCAGCAGUCGGGAAUCUUCCGCAAUGGGCGAAAGCCUGACGGAGCAACGCCGCGUGAGUGAUGAAGGUCUUCGGAUCGUAAAACUCUGUUAUUAGGGAAGAACAAAUGUGUAAGUAACUAUGCACGUCUUGACGGUACCUAAUCAGAAAGCCACGGCUAACUACGUG